UACGUAGGGUGCGAGCGUUAAUCGGAAUUACUGGGCGUAAAGCGUGCGCAGGCGGUUUUGUAAGCCCGAUGUGAAAUCCCCGGGCUUAACCUGGGAAUGGCAUUUGGGACUGCAAGGCUUGAGUGCGGAAGAGGAGACUGGAAUUCCUGGUGUAGCAGUGAAAUGCGUAGAUAUCAGGAGGAAUACCGAUGGCGAAGGCAGGUCUCUGGGCUGACACUGACGCUCAUGCACGAAAGCGUGGGGAGCAAACAGG
This 253-nucleotide ribosomal RNA is filed under the name uncultured bacterium. RNAcentral's name for it is "partial 16S ribosomal RNA". It matches the Rfam family "Bacterial small subunit ribosomal RNA", at positions 524 to 776 of the family's 1533-position model. The record is from RNAcentral.